This 71-nucleotide transfer RNA is filed under the name Cazira horvathi. Its description in RNAcentral is "tRNA-Glu". It matches the Rfam family "tRNA". From Rfam's summary of the family: Transfer RNA (tRNA) molecules are approximately 80 nucleotides in length. Their secondary structure includes four short double-helical elements and three loops (D, anti-codon, and T loops). Further hydrogen bonds mediate the characteristic L-shaped molecular structure. tRNAs have two regions of fundamental functional importance: the anti-codon, which is responsible for specific mRNA codon recognition, and the 3' end, to which the tRNAs corresponding amino acid is attached (by aminoacyl-tRNA synthetases). tRNAs cope with the degeneracy of the genetic code in two manners: having more than one tRNA (with a specific anti-codon) for a particular amino acid; and 'wobble' base-pairing, i.e. permitting non-standard base-pairing at the 3rd anti-codon position. The record is from RNAcentral. Lineage: Eukaryota; Metazoa; Arthropoda; Insecta; Hemiptera; Pentatomidae.
GUUUAUAUAGUUUAAAUUAAAACCCUUCAUUUUCAAUGAAGAAAUAAGAAAUUAAAAUCUUUUUAAAUACU